AGUGAACGCUGGCGGUAGGCCUAACACAUGCAAGUCGAACGGCAGCACAGUAAGAGCUUGCUCUUACGGGUGGCGAGUGGCGGACGGGUGAGGAAUACAUCGGAAUCUACUUUUUCUUGGGGGAUAACGUAGGGAAACUUACGCUAAUACCGCAUACGACCUAUGGGUGAAAGCAGGGGAUCUUCGGACCUUGCGCGAUUGAAUGAGCCGAUGUCGGAUUAGCUAGUUGGCGGGGUAAAGGCCCACCAAGGCGACGAUCCGUAGCUGGUCUGAGAGGAUGAUCAGCCACACUGGAACUGAGACACGGUCCAGACUCCUACGGGAGGCAGCAGUGGGGAAUAUUGGACAAUGGGCGCAAGCCUGAUCCAGCCAUACCGCGUGGGUGAAGAAGGCCUUCGGGUUGUAAAGCCCUUUUGUUGGGAAAGAAAAGCAGCAGGUUAAUACCCCGCUGUUCUGACGGUACCCAAAGAAUAAGCACCGGCUAACUUCGUG
Molecule: ribosomal RNA, 492 nt
Filed under: uncultured bacterium
Lineage: Bacteria
Description: partial 16S ribosomal RNA
Rfam family: Bacterial small subunit ribosomal RNA
Source: RNAcentral